UGAAGUCGGCGUAUAGCAGCCCGGUAGCUCGUCUGCCUCUAACCAGAAGGUCGCAGGUGCGAAUGCUGCCAUUUCAG
This 77-nucleotide transfer RNA is filed under the name Ensifer canadensis. RNAcentral's name for it is "Ensifer sp. T173 tRNA-OTHER". The record is from RNAcentral. Lineage: Bacteria; Pseudomonadati; Pseudomonadota; Alphaproteobacteria; Hyphomicrobiales; Rhizobiaceae.